Molecule: small nuclear RNA, 182 nt
Organism: Dermacentor silvarum
Lineage: Eukaryota; Metazoa; Arthropoda; Arachnida; Ixodida; Ixodidae
Product: U2 spliceosomal RNA
Exons: 1
Source: RefSeq, a predicted model, not a curated record
AUGACCGACGCGGGUCAAAGCACAGUAUCUGUUCUUAUGCGCAUAAUAUAUGAUACGGGUUGUAUUUGAACCCAAUAUAUUAAACUUACUUUUGCAAGUUGCUGGUGUGCUUGAAGCCUGCUUCACCUCCGCCGCGGGUAGGCCCGGUAUUACACUAUCUUCGGGAUUUUUAGCCUAUGGAC